UCUGGAAGUUUGAAAUGACUGCCAAAAAACAAAGGCUGAGUGUGUGACUGUACAACCUUCUGUUAAAAACCUCAGGAAGACUUAACGGCAAGUGCCGCAUUCAGCUCACCUAAGUCCUACGUUGUUCUUGAUGGCUCAUGGUAUUAUUAUUAUCCCUGUUUUAUAACUAAGGAAACUCCAGCACAGACGGGUUUCUCCCCUGCAAUCAAGACACAGGACUGCCAGGAGCACCAGCAUGACAGUGUCCCAGAUAAGCAACUAAGCCAUCAAAAAUCCUGUGUUUGAGUCUCUUUAACCUAGCUUGGUCUCAUACCUACACUGAGGUCAGGAGCAAGAUGGAUUCAAACCCACCAAAAACACAUGGAUGAAGAGCUGAGAAUGAAGUAGUU
Long non-coding RNA from Tupaia belangeri chinensis (Chinese tree shrew), 389 nucleotides. RefSeq lists it as uncharacterized. The transcript is spliced from 3 exons. The record is from RefSeq and is a predicted model, not a curated record. Lineage: Eukaryota; Metazoa; Chordata; Mammalia; Scandentia; Tupaiidae.